This 497-nucleotide ribosomal RNA is filed under the name uncultured bacterium. Its description in RNAcentral is "partial 16S ribosomal RNA". It matches the Rfam family "Bacterial small subunit ribosomal RNA", at positions 28 to 507 of the family's 1533-position model. The record is from RNAcentral.
GAUGAACGCUGGCGGCGUGCCUAAUACAUGCAAGUCGAGCGAACAGACGAGGAGCUUGCGCCUCUGACGUUAGCGGCAGACGGGUGAGUAACACGUGGAUAACCUACCUAUAAUAGUGGUAUAACUUCGGGAAAGCGGAGCUAAUAGCGGAUGAUAUAUUGAACCGCGUGGUGGAAUGGUGAGAGUCGGUGGUGCUGGCACUUAUAGAUGCAUACGCGCCGCAUGAGGUGGUUGGUAAGGUAACGGGUUACUAAGGCGACGAUGCGUGGCCGACGUGAGAGGGUGGUAGCCCACCCGGGAACUGAGCCACGCUCAUGACUCCUACGGUAGGCCGCAGUCGCGAACCUUCGGCAAUGGGGGAAAGCAUGACGGAGCAAGGCCGCGUGAGUGAUGAAGGUCUUCGGAUCGUAAUACCCGGUUAUUAGUGAAGAACCACUGUGUACGUAAAUAUGCACGUCUUGACGGUAACUAAUCAGAAAGCCACGGCUAACUACGUG